Molecule: transfer RNA, 77 nt
Filed under: Bacteriovoracia bacterium
Lineage: Bacteria; Pseudomonadati; Bdellovibrionota; Bacteriovoracia
Description: tRNA-Thr
Rfam family: tRNA
About the family: Transfer RNA (tRNA) molecules are approximately 80 nucleotides in length.
Source: RNAcentral
GCCACCUUAGCUCAGUUGGCUAGAGCAACCGCCUUGUAAGCGGUAGGUCAUCAGUUCGAAUCUGAUAGGUGGCUCCA